CGGCCAAGCUGAUGAAGAAUUAGAGCCUAAAGGGAGAAAAAGGAAGUAGUAUUAAAAACAACCGCAAUCACAUCCUAAUAUGAAAAAGAACAGAAUAACUGUAUUGAAUACGACUGUUAAACAAGAACUUCUACCCUUGAUGAACAGCAGAGUGCCUCUAGGGGGAAUGCAAUGAGCAUGGAGAGGCCCUUUAUUUCAAGUGAAUUCAAAUGGAAAAGAAAGACAUUUGUGGUGAAAAGAAGGACUAGGGUGACAUGAUAACAGUGUUCCAAAAUUUGAG
Molecule: long non-coding RNA, 280 nt
Organism: Crotalus tigris (Tiger rattlesnake)
Lineage: Eukaryota; Metazoa; Chordata; Lepidosauria; Squamata; Viperidae
Exons: 3
Source: RefSeq, a predicted model, not a curated record